This 447-nucleotide ribosomal RNA is filed under the name uncultured Hyphomicrobiales bacterium. Its description in RNAcentral is "bacterial SSU rRNA". It matches the Rfam family "Bacterial small subunit ribosomal RNA", at positions 29 to 523 of the family's 1533-position model. The record is from RNAcentral. Lineage: Bacteria; Pseudomonadati; Pseudomonadota; Alphaproteobacteria; Hyphomicrobiales.
AACGAACGCUGGCGGCAGGCUUAACACAUGCAAGCCGAGCGCCCCGCAAGGGGAGCGGCAGACGGGUGAGUAACGCGUGGGAAUCUACCUUUUGCUACGGAAUAACGCAGGGAAACUUGUGCUAAUACCGUAUGUGUCCUUCGGGAGAAAGAUUUAUCGGCAAGAGAUGAGCCCGCGUUGGAUUAGCUAGUUGGUGGGGUAAAGGCCUACCAAGGCGACGAUCCAUAGCUGGUCUGAGAGGAUGAUCAGCCACAUUGGGACUGAGACACGGCCCAAACUCCUACGGGAGGCAGCAGUGGGGAAUAUUGGACAAUGGGCGCAAGCCUGAUCCAGCCAUGCCGCGUGAGUGAUGAAGGCCCUAGGGUUGUAAAGCUCUUUCACCGGAGAAGAUAAUGACGGUAUCCGGAGAAGAAGCCCCGGCUAACUUCGUGCCAGCAGCCGCGGUAA